AUUCGCAAGAAACAUCAUAGGUCUGUCAAGUUGUUCCAAUUCUAAAGUCCCCAUCGAGCCAACCACGGUCCAGAUGCCCGGAUGGGACUUGCUCCACUUUACCGAAUGCAGAAUGCAUUUCCCACCAGCAUCAGGGAACAAUGGCGGAGGAGACAAUACACAACUGGAAGGAUGACCGUACUGCAUCCUCCCGUGCCUGGGACUCCAAAGUGCACAUCUGGGGACGGCGCUUCUUCAGGAUGAUCCGCACCAAAACCUCUCCUACAGGAAGAAACCUAUUGCCAACCCCGGCACACGCGAGGGAAGGCUGUCUGGUGCUUUGUCAGUCCUGCCAGACCAACCCUGUAUCACAAAAAUUACGUUCCCCCAGACCUAAAAUGCAAUUUGCAGUUAUGUUUGACUGAAACGUAUUUCUCUCCAGAUUACGUUUGUAUUUGACGUAUUAUAAUUACAAAUACGUCUCUGAUCAACGUA
Long non-coding RNA from Pseudoliparis swirei, 474 nucleotides. RefSeq lists it as uncharacterized. The record is from RefSeq and is a predicted model, not a curated record. Lineage: Eukaryota; Metazoa; Chordata; Actinopteri; Perciformes; Liparidae. The transcript has 2 exons.